Molecule: long non-coding RNA, 4529 nt
Filed under: Citrus sinensis (sweet orange)
Lineage: Eukaryota; Viridiplantae; Streptophyta; Magnoliopsida; Sapindales; Rutaceae
Description: long non-coding RNA (CSIN_LNC000134)
Source: RNAcentral
GCAUAGGCACAGAAAUGGUCCAAGUCGUCUAUCCUUUCGAGGAGAAUAGCACUCCAGUAAUCAUCACUGGCAUCUGUCUGUAGAAUGCGUUGUCCAAUUGUGGGAAUUCUGAGUGGAGGAGGUGAUUGAGCUAUCACUUUCAGCUGCUUGACUAGGGGUGUCAAAAAAACCCGCCCGGAUCGGAUCCGGCCCGAACCCGGCCAAUCCGGUCCGGGCAAAACCCGGACCGCAUAUACAGAAAAAGCGGAUCCGGGUUUUAGAAUUUAAAACCCGGACAUAUCCGAGCACGGUCCGGGUUCAGAACCCAAAACCUAAAACCCGGACCCGGACCCGUUUUCCCAAUUGAAAAAAAAAAAAAAAACUAAACCAGUUACCUACCCAAACCCAAAUCACAAAACCAAAUCCGAAAAUCCCUAAUUCCCCAAAUCGUAAAACACCCAACCCAAAGGUAUAAGCUGAGCAGCGACGCUGCCACCGUCACCGUCGGCUAGCACCCACCGUCACCGUCGGCAUCAUCUCUUCUCGUUUGCAUUUGCUGACUCGGUUUUGCUCAGUUGCGGCUGUGACGGGAGUCGUUCGUGCAGCGGCAGCAGCGCAGUGCAUCCCCCUCCGGCGCCGUCAGCGUCAGCGCCACCGUCUCCAACUCUCCAUUGCCACUUUGUCAUCCACCAUCAGUCUAUCACUCUGCCAUCACAGCCACCACUACCAGCCGCAGGUAUUGAUUUUUUUCCUUCCAUAUUUUGUCUUCCCAAUUGCAUUUUUGCCGAUUGCUUCUCUGUUGGUGUUGGCUGUUGCUAUUUGUGUUUAUUUUCGGUCAAUUUUGUGCAUGGUUGCUGACUUGCUGUUGCUGUGAGAGUGUGAGGCUAAGUGGUUUUGACCGUAGAAUAUGAGGAAAAUAUGGCCAAUUUUAUGAGGGAUCCUUAUUGCCUGCUCGUGUAAUACUUAAUUUUAAUGAUUUGCAUACAUCUAUCAUUUUGCAUUUUAGCUGCGUGGGAUGAAAGCUAGCUAGAUAAGGUAAUAAGGUUCACUGGUUUGUAUAUAGUGUAAAAUUUAUUUGAGCCAUCACCAGUCAAGCAGUCAUCACUCUUCAAUUUCAAGAGUCUGAAUAUUGAAUAAUCUGGCCCUAAAAUGCAUCAGCAAACGCACACAGCAUAUGAUUAUAUGAUGAAACUAGGGGGUUUGUGUCGAGAUUUGUUGGGUUAUACUAUUGAAGUGGAUUUUUAAUGUUAUAUUACAACUGGUUAUUCACUUGUUUGUAUGAUUUUGCUUCUGUUGGCUAUGUGAACCUCUCUGCCCAACUUGAUUUGAUUUGACAACAAAGUAAAACCAGACAAUAUUUUAAUUUUUAUGUUGAAUCCAAAAAUGAUAUCAUCAAAUAAUACAAAUUUGUAUGCCAUUUCCCUGUUUCAGUCAGUUUACUUCCAGCUCAUACUCUCACAUUUAUUGUUAAGUAUAUGGUUGCUGACUUGCUGUGAGCCUGUGAUUACUGUAACUGUUGCUCUUUUUUUUGGGCCAAAUCCUGUUGCCUUUUUUAAUUUUAUGUUGCUGACUUGCUGUGAGCCUGUUAGUUUUAUGUCUCGGUCUCUCUUUUCUGUUCACUUUUUCGUUUCCACACUAAAAUCUGAAAUUUAGUAUAUCUUUGCUAUUGUAACAGUAGAGUAGUGCAAUGUCGGACAACGUAGAAAUCAAUUCUUCGAGUGCUCCAGAUUUAUCUCGUAAUGUCGAAGAUAAAAUUGAUAAUGAGGUUGAGGAAAUUUCAGUAUCAACUGUGAAUGAUAAGAGAAGUAAGGAAGAAACUAGAAAAAAGAAGAAAGUCUCCGAAGCUUGGGAGCACUUUACAAAAAUAAUGGUAAAUGGAGAACAAAAGGCAAAGUGCAUGCAUUGUAGUGCAAUUUUAAAAGCAAAAUACCAAUCGGGGACUUCAACUUUGAAUAGACACGUGGCAAUGUGUUUUAAGCAGAAUCAACCAAACAUAGAAGAAGCACUUCAAGGAAGCCUUAAAGUGAUUAAAAGAGAGGAUGGAACUUGUGGCAUUAGUUAUGGCAGUUUUGAUCAAAAUGUUUUACGGAGUUUGAUAGCAAGAAUGGUUAUAAUGCAUGAGCUUCCACUUAGAUUCGUGGAAUAUAUAGGCUUCCGAGAAAUGAUGGCACAUGCUAACCCCGUGGUUAAGCCAAUGAGCAGAAACACUUUGAAGAGCGAAAUCUUGAAGUUAUAUCAAAUCGAGAAGGUUAAGACUUUGCAUUUAUUGGGGAAAAAUCAUGGUAGAGUGGCCAUUACUACGGAUUUAUGGACAGCUAGUAAUCAGAAAAAGGGAUAUAUGGUCGUGACGGCCCAUUUCAUUGAUAAUUCCUGGAAAUUGCAUAGUCGAAUCUUAAGGUAAUUUGUCUAUAAUUUUUUGGAAUGCUUAAUUUAAUUUUUCUUUUAAGUUUAUUAUUACUUAUAUUAGAUUUUUUUUCAAGUUUAAAUUGUAAUAUAUUUUAAGUUUGUGUAUUUAAUACCGACUUUUGAAUAUUUGAUAGGUUCAUCUAUGUUCCAAGUCCCCAUACUGCUGAUGCCCUAUGUAAUGAGUUAGUACAAUGCCUAUUGGAUUGGAACGUGGAUAGAAAGUUAUCCUCAGUGACAUUGGAUAAUUGUACCACUAAUGACGCAAUGGUGGAGAAAUUGCUGUUAAGGUUUGAUACUGAUGCCUUAAUUUCUAGUGGUAAAUUUUUUCAUAUGAGAUGUACUGCUCAUAUAUUGAACUUGGUUGUGCGGGAUGGGUUGAAAGUUAUAGAAAGUGGGAUUGGAAAGAUUAGAGAGAGUGUGAGUCAUUGGACACAAACACCAAAAAGAUAUGAAACUUUUAUUUUCCUAAGAUAUAUGGUGAUACAGCAGAUGAGCUUAUUGAGUGUGCACAUAAGCUUUGUUAUGAUUUAGUGAAAGAAUAUGAAUCGAAGGCAGCGCAUGUGAGUGGUGGGCAGAACGUUGGAUUGGAAAUUUCUCGUUCUGAAUCUUGUUCGAAUUCGAAUAAGUAUUGGGAUGUAGAUGAGUUUGAAACAUUUCGAAGCCAAAAUAAACGUGCUAAGGUAACUAAGUCGGAGUUGGAUAGGUAUUUAGAUGAGGAAUUAUUGGAUUCCAUUCUGGACUUUGAUAUUUUAGCGUUUUGGAAGAUGCACACAAGCCAAUAUCCUAUUUUGGCUGAGUUAGCUAAGGAUAUCUUAGCCAUUCCUGUAUCCACCGUUGCCUCUGAGUCAGCUUUUAGUGCCGGGGGCAGAUUUUUGAGUUUGCAUCGUAGUAAACUUCUUCCUGACACUUUAGAAGCCUUAAUUAGAUUUUUGAGUCCGCACCAUAGUAAACUUCUUCCUAACACUUUAGAAGCCUUAAUGUGUGCUCAAAAUUGGAUUUGGGCUUCUACUUUUCGAGGUAUAAAGUUAUUUGAAUCAUAUUUUAGUAGUAUUUAUUUGCUUGAAAUGCUUUGAAUUUUAAUGUGUUAUUUUUGUUGUAAGGUGGAGUUCCGGAGGAUGAGAUUUUUACUGGGGAGGAGGUAAUUUCGGAUGAUGAUGAUGAGCCACAAGCGUCGACAAGUAGUAUGACAUGAACGUUUAUUUAUUUAUUUGGAAUUAGACAUGAACUUGUUAUUUAUUUAUUUUACAUGGGAGUGUUUUGACUCUUUUAUGAACUAUUUUUUGAGUUGUUGAACAUUUUAGGAUUUUCAUGUGUUGUAUUGAUAAUUGGUGUCAUUAUUAUGAACUUAUGAUAUAUGUUGGAUGUUAUUUAGAUUUAUUGGGUUAUUGGAUUUAAUUUUUUUUUAUAUAUAGAUUGAAUGAGUUUAGGUUAGAAGUUAGAUGAAUUUUUAUUUAUUAUUUGUGCAAAAUUGGUAUUGUUAGUAUGUUAUAAGUUUGUAUUUAACUAUUUCUCUAAUUUUUCUUUGACUUAAGUUUGAGAUUUAUCUUGUAUUAUGAUACACAAGAAAUGUGCAUGCGUGUUGUAUUGUUGUUUCACUUGUUUGGUGAUAUUUAUUUUGGCUGCAGCCGCAUUAGCUUAUCAAGUGAAUUAUAAAGUUGUUUUCGAGUCAAUAACAAGUUGUUGUGCCGACUGCAGAGUCAGAGUGCAGAUGUACAUGUACACACAUUAACGGAGGACUAAGCUUAUUGUUUAAUUAAUUAAGUUGCUUGGUGCAUGCCACUUACCAUCUGCCGCUUUGACCAUUAUUGGAUAACUUCUACCAAUUUGUUACAUCUUAAUCAAAUUUAUUUUCAAUUUAAGAUAGUUGUAUGACUCUACUGAUUAAAAGGGAGCCAUUGUUUAUUUUCAAUUUAUUUUUAAUAUGUUACAUCUUAAUAAAAAUGAAAGAAUUUUUUUUUUGAAAUAUUUGUUUGCGGGCUUAGAAGCCCGGAAGACAAAACCCGGACCCAGGACACGCCGGGCUCAAGCCCGGACCGAACAUACAAAAACCGGGUUUUGUCCGGGUCCGGGUUUUAAUUUUUGGCAUCCGGUCCGGUCCCGGGUUGCACCAAACCCGGACCGGACCCGGGGUUUUGCCAAGCCUA